This is a non-coding RNA of Schistosoma mansoni, 45 nucleotides long. The record is from Rfam. Lineage: Eukaryota; Metazoa; Platyhelminthes; Trematoda; Strigeidida; Schistosomatidae.
AUGCAGCUGACGAGUUUCAAAUAGGACGAAACGCGCGUCCUGGAU